Molecule: transfer RNA, 53 nt
Filed under: Xylobanus sp. VK-2011
Lineage: Eukaryota; Metazoa; Arthropoda; Insecta; Coleoptera; Lycidae
Description: partial tRNA-Ser
Source: RNAcentral
UAAACAAAUUAAUGCUAAAUAAAAAGUUGGGAGCUUUUUUAAAAUAUUUCUUU